UAUUAAAACCUUUGACACAAAGUUUAGUCAUUUUAAUUACCUCAAGCGGAUAACCAACAACUUUUCUAUGAAUUUCUCUCUCUUCUCUCUAACUCAAAUUAAAAAAUAAAUCAAAUAAAUUUUUAAACUACCAUGCUUUACAAUUCAAUCCUAUUUCUUUUAUUUUUUUAAUUUUUCCAUAAUUCAACACUAAUUUCAUCUAGAAAAACUCUAAAGGAGAAAAAAGGUUUAAUAAUGGAAAAAAACAAAGAGAGUCAGGAGUGAAGCUCCGUCACAAAUCCUAGUUGUUUUAGAUGUAUUAGGUAAUCGGAUUAGAUCACCUCAAAAUAUCAUGACACGACACUAAGGGAAACACUAUUAUUCUUAGCAUUUUCUUGUCCCACGAUCAUAGAUCCUAAAAUGGGGAUUUUGGUUUCCAUAGAAAAUAGAAUACACCCUCAAACGAGCAGGCAGCCAAAGUUUUAGGAAACUAGGACACCCAAACUAGGAGCACAGAUUUUGCAGAAAUUAUACCUAUCCUGCUAAAAAUACUCUAAACAAUAGGGCAUGGCUCGUGUAAUGCACUUUUGAUUGGUCACCCCAAUUGAAGAAUUUUUGGCACAAGAAGCAACUGAAUGAAUCCAGAAGAGCUCCCAACCUGGCCAAAAA
Molecule: long non-coding RNA, 648 nt
Organism: Populus euphratica (Euphrates poplar)
Lineage: Eukaryota; Viridiplantae; Streptophyta; Magnoliopsida; Malpighiales; Salicaceae
Exons: 2
Source: RefSeq, a predicted model, not a curated record